This 686-nucleotide long non-coding RNA is filed under the name Homo sapiens (human). RNAcentral describes it as "HSALNT0404748". The record is from RNAcentral. Lineage: Eukaryota; Metazoa; Chordata; Mammalia; Primates; Hominidae.
AGGCAGGAGAAUGGCUUGAACCUGGGAGGUGGAGGUUGCAGUGAGCCGAGAUCGCGUCACUGCACUACAGCCUGGGCAAGAGAAUGAGUCUCUGUCUCAAAAAUAAAUAAAUAACAAUAAAUAAUUAAUAAACACAGUGGAGAUGCUCCAAACCCGCCAAGACUAGGCUGUUCCUCCUCGGGGAACACGUGGGCAGAUGCUGAACCGGGAAGGCCCCAAGACGUUGCAGGGUGAGUAAUUUCCGAGCAUGCAAUUAUAAAGAACCGGAGUGCAACAGCUCCCCAAGGCACCCCCGGAUUCCCGCAGCGUGCACGUAAUUGCAGCCAGACAGUAACCUCGCUGUGGCCUGUGUCCCAGCCCUAACCCUGCACCCCACUUGGCACUCCCACAUAUGGGACAAUUUUCCCAGCUGAUUGCUGGAAACUGAUGAAGGGAAGUUAUGUGGCCUCUUGUGAUGGGCGGUCCCACAGCUGCUCUGGUUGGAGAGAGAGAGAGAGACAGAGAGACAGGGGAGGGGGGGGAGAGAGUGAGAGACAGGGAAGAGAGAGAGAGAGAGAGACAGAGAGGGGAGAGAGAGAGAGAUGGGGAGAGAGAGGGGAGAGAGAGAGACGGGGAAAGAGAGGGGAGAGAGAGAGAGAAAGAGAGGGGAGGGGGGAGAGAAAGAGACAGAGGGGAGAGGGGGGAGA